GCCUGCCAGUCAACACCACCUCACGAGAUUGCCUGCUGCAGUUGUUCAAGAGAUGUCCAGUUUGCAGCCUAACAUGCAGCAUAGAGAAGACCAGCAAGGGGACGCUUAUCAGCAUUAUGCAGACAUGCCCUCGCUAUGAGCAGUCCUGUGAAUGCAACCGUCAGCCACAUGUUGGCAAGUAUCUGACCAGCAAGCUGUCAGCGGCCACAGCUUUCACAGGCUCAUCAUUUGUACAAAUACAGAAGGAGCUGAUCUACACUGCUAUGUCCAUAAAUAGGGCUCUGGCAAAAAAAGGACUCACCACUAGCCUCACACGCCUGUUCACCAACAGUCAUCGAUGGGGAGAACAGAAUUAGGAUCUACGUGAAGGAGUGUGAGCUGGAGAGGCAGUUGUCACCUGGAUGGGUGAAAAAGAAGUGGGAGAACUAUAAGAAAAAAUACACGGAGUUGAAAGCUCCCCCCACCAGAGUCAGCACAGAGGGAGGGGAGGCUACAGCCGCAUACUGGACGUGAUAUGUGGUGAUGGAUUAGGUGCGGCAGGGGCUGCAACUCCAUCACCCCACCUGUCAUCUUCUCCUCUCCAUCCCAGAAGGGUCCAGAUGUGGAGGAGGAAGAAAGUUCCCAGUUGUCUUGAAAGCACCAUGACCAUCAGAUGCAGAUACCUGUAUGGAGCCAGCACUUGGGAUACUUGAAAGAUGAUGUGAUGGAGUCCAGACUGACAGACGGCCUUGAUGCUGAUGUCUCUGAAUGGAGAGAGACCUUGCACUCAGCAAUAAAAUGAUACAAGACACA
Molecule: long non-coding RNA, 792 nt
Organism: Oncorhynchus kisutch (coho salmon)
Lineage: Eukaryota; Metazoa; Chordata; Actinopteri; Salmoniformes; Salmonidae
Exons: 6
Source: RefSeq, a predicted model, not a curated record